RNAcentral lists this ribosomal RNA (2210 nucleotides) under Escherichia coli. RNAcentral's name for it is "partial 23S ribosomal RNA". It matches the Rfam family "Bacterial large subunit ribosomal RNA", at positions 1 to 2228 of the family's 2925-position model. The record is from RNAcentral. Lineage: Bacteria; Pseudomonadati; Pseudomonadota; Gammaproteobacteria; Enterobacterales; Enterobacteriaceae.
GGGUUGUGAGGUUAAGCGACUAAGCGUACACGGUGGAUGCCCUGGCAGUCAGAGGCGAUGAAGGACGUGCUAAUCUGCGAUAAGCGUCGGUAAGGUGAUAUGAACCGUUAUAACCGGCGAUUUCCGAAUGGGGAAACCCAGUGUGAUUCGUCACACUAUCAUUAACUGAAUCCAUAGGUUAAUGAGGCGAACCGGGGGAACUGAAACAUCUAAGUACCCCGAGGAAAAGAAAUCAACCGAGAUUCCCCCAGUAGCGGCGAGCGAACGGGGAGCAGCCCAGAGCCUGAAUCAGUGUGUGUGUUAGUGGAAGCGUCUGGAAAGGCGCGCGAUACAGGGUGACAGCCCCGUACACAAAAAUGCACAUGCUGUGAGCUCGAUGAGUAGGGCGGGACACGUGGUAUCCUGUCUGAAUAUGGGGGGACCAUCCUCCAAGGCUAAAUACUCCUGACUGACCGAUAGUGAACCAGUACCGUGAGGGAAAGGCGAAAAGAACCCCGGCGAGGGGAGUGAAAAAGAACCUGAAACCGUGUACGUACAAGCAGUGGGAGCCUCUUUUAUGGGGUGACUGCGUACCUUUUGUAUAAUGGGUCAGCGACUUAUAUUCUGUAGCAAGGUUAACCGAAUAGGGGAGCCGAAGGGAAACCGAGUCUUAACUGGGCGUUAAGUUGCAGGGUAUAGACCCGAAACCCGGUGAUCUAGCCAUGGGCAGGUUGAAGGUUGGGUAACACUAACUGGAGGACCGAACCGACUAAUGUUGAAAAAUUAGCGGAUGACUUGUGGCUGGGGGUGAAAGGCCAAUCAAACCGGGAGAUAGCUGGUUCUCCCCGAAAGCUAUUUAGGUAGCGCCUCGUGAAUUCAUCUCCGGGGGUAGAGCACUGUUUCGGCAAGGGGGUCAUCCCGACUUACCAACCCGAUGCAAACUGCGAAUACCGGAGAAUGUUAUCACGGGAGACACACGGCGGGUGCUAACGUCCGUCGUGAAGAGGGAAACAACCCAGACCGCCAGCUAAGGUCCCAAAGUCAUGGUUAAGUGGGAAACGAUGUGGGAAGGCCCAGACAGCCAGGAUGUUGGCUUAGAAGCAGCCAUCAUUUAAAGAAAGCGUAAUAGCUCACUGGUCGAGUCGGCCUGCGCGGAAGAUGUAACGGGGCUAAACCAUGCACCGAAGCUGCGGCAGCGACACUGUGUGUUGUUGGGUAGGGGAGCGUUCUGUAAGCCUGCGAAGGUGUGCUGUGAGGCAUGCUGGAGGUAUCAGAAGUGCGAAUGCUGACAUAAGUAACGAUAAAGCGGGUGAAAAGCCCGCUCGCCGGAAGACCAAGGGUUCCUGUCCAACGUUAAUCGGGGCAGGGUGAGUCGACCCCUAAGGCGAGGCCGAAAGGCGUAGUCGAUGGGAAACAGGUUAAUAUUCCUGUACUUGGUGUUACUGCGAAGGGGGGACGGAGAAGGCUAUGUUGGCCGGGCGACGGUUGUCCCGGUUUAAGCGUGUAGGCUGGUUUUCCAGGCAAAUCCGGAAAAUCAAGGCUGAGGCGUGAUGACGAGGCACUACGGUGCUGAAGCAACAAAUGCCCUGCUUCCAGGAAAAGCCUCUAAGCAUCAGGUAACAUCAAAUCGUACCCCAAACCGACACAGGUGGUCAGGUAGAGAAUACCAAGGCGCUUGAGAGAACUCGGGUGAAGGAACUAGGCAAAAUGGUGCCGUAACUUCGGGAGAAGGCACGCUGAUAUGUAGGUGAAGUCCCUCGCGGAUGGAGCUGAAAUCAGUCGAAGAUACCAGCUGGCUGCAACUGUUUAUUAAAAACACAGCACUGUGCAAACACGAAAGUGGACGUAUACGGUGUGACGCCUGCCCGGUGCCGGAAGGUUAAUUGAUGGGGUCAGCGCAAGCGAAGCUCUUGAUCGAAGCCCCGGUAAACGGCGGCCGUAACUAUAACGGUCCUAAGGUAGCGAAAUUCCUUGUCGGGUAAGUUCCGACCUGCACGAAUGGCGUAAUGAUGGCCAGGCUGUCUCCACCCGAGACUCAGUGAAAUUGAACUCGCUGUGAAGAUGCAGUGUACCCGCGGCAAGACGGAAAGACCCCGUGAACCUUUACUAUAGCUUGACACUGAACAUUGAGCCUUGAUGUGUAGGAUAGGUGGGAGGCUUUGAAGUGUGGACGCCAGUCUGCAUGGAGCCGACCUUGAAAUACCACCCUUUAAUGUUUGAUGUUCUAACGU